UACGUAGGGUGCAGGCGUUAAUCGGAAUUACUGGGCGUAAAGCGUGCGCAGGCGGCUUUGCAAGACAGAUGUGAAAUCCCCGGGCUUAACCUGGGAACUGCAUUUGUGACUGGCAAGCUAGAGUAUGGCAGAGGGGGGUAGAAUUCCACGUGUAGCAGUGAAAUGCGUAGAGAUGUGGAGGAAUACCGAUGGCGAAGGCAGCCCCCUGGGCCAAUACUGACGCUCAUGCACGAAAGCGUGGGGAGCAAACAGG
RNAcentral lists this ribosomal RNA (253 nucleotides) under uncultured bacterium. Its description in RNAcentral is "partial 16S ribosomal RNA". It matches the Rfam family "Bacterial small subunit ribosomal RNA", at positions 524 to 776 of the family's 1533-position model. The record is from RNAcentral.